UACGGGGGGGGCAAGCGUUGUUCGGAAUUACUGGGUGUAAAGGGUUCGUAGGCGGUGCGGCAAGUCGGGAGUGAAAUCUCUGGGCUCAACCCAGAGGCUGCUUCCGAAACUGCUGUGCUUGAGUGUGGGAGAGGCGCGUGGAAUUGCAGGUGUAGCGGUGAAAUGCGUAGAUAUCUGCAGGAACACCCGUGGCGAAAGCGGCGCGCUGGACCACUACUGACGCUGAAGAACGAAAGCUAGGGGAGCAAACAGG
RNAcentral lists this ribosomal RNA (253 nucleotides) under uncultured bacterium. Its description in RNAcentral is "partial 16S ribosomal RNA". It matches the Rfam family "Bacterial small subunit ribosomal RNA", at positions 524 to 776 of the family's 1533-position model. The record is from RNAcentral.